RNAcentral lists this transfer RNA (68 nucleotides) under Urocitellus parryii (Arctic ground squirrel). Its description in RNAcentral is "Spermophilus parryii (Arctic ground squirrel) tRNA". It matches the Rfam family "tRNA". From Rfam's summary of the family: Transfer RNA (tRNA) molecules are approximately 80 nucleotides in length. Their secondary structure includes four short double-helical elements and three loops (D, anti-codon, and T loops). Lineage: Eukaryota; Metazoa; Chordata; Mammalia; Rodentia; Sciuridae. The record is from Rfam by way of RNAcentral. RNAcentral also lists the same sequence under 1 other name.
GGGAAUAUAGCUCAGCAGUAGAGUGCUUGCCUUAUAAUGAAAGACCCUGGGUUCAAACCCCAGUACCA